Non-coding RNA from Paramuricea clavata, 1014 nucleotides. The record is from the annotation of a GenBank genome assembly. Lineage: Eukaryota; Metazoa; Cnidaria; Anthozoa; Malacalcyonacea; Plexauridae.
GCGAAACUGUAAAAGCCAUCUUUACUUCCUGGCGUUGUUCUACUGUACCUGCUCGACUUAGACUACCCAUCCAGACUCAGCAGUCUGACAUGGUAAAGGCUUUUCAAGAAAUUGAACAAUAUUGCUACGUGUGAGAACUUUUACAUUUAUCUAUCAGUAAUUACUUUAAUAACCUAUUCAUGUAUAGCUGGUAAAUAUAUUAUUUUAAACAUUCUUAAUUGUUUUUAUAUUGUAGGAUGACAACAGCAAAAAAUCAUGCCAAGAUUAUUAUUCUAGUUUCAUAUUGUCAUUUAAGAAAAAUAUUCUUAAAAGCCACGCACACCGGAUCGAACUAGAAUAAUUUUCUUAGCAGGAUUUCAAUUCAAGAUAAUUUUUCUAAUUUUGUCCCAUGGGUAAGUAAAAUUUUCUUAUUAAGAUUAUUUUUCUUAUUUCAAGAAAACGUUCUAGCAAAAUUUUCUUAUUACCAGAAAAUAAUUCUUGGGAAACUAAGAAUUUUUUUCUAGAAAUAAGAAAAUUUUGCUAGAACGUUUUUUUGAAAUAAGAAAAAUAUUCUUGAUAAGAAAAUUUUACUUACCCACGGGACAAAAUUAGAAAAAUUUUCUUACCAAGAAUUUUGUUCUAACCAAGAUUAAUUUUCUUAUUUUAAGAAAAAUUUUCUUGAAAUCUGAUUCUUACCUAUAAUAUUUUACUUACCCACGGGACAAGUAAAAUUUUCUUAAAACAAGUAAUUUUGUGCUUAAAAUAAGUAAUAUUUUCUUAAAACAAGAAAUUGAUUUUUUGCAGUGUGGCCACGGUGGGAAUCGAACCUACGACCUAUGCAAUACCUUAAAAUUGAACAUUUUUUAUUGUAUUUGGUUUUAGGCAGCUGUGGGUGCUUAUUAUGAUUUCAAUAGUUCUCAAUCAGUUGAGAAGUUGCCAAACAUGGAGUUUUUACAAGAUAUAACUAUUGGAGAAGGGGAGGCCGUGCCACCAAGUACCAGAUUUAUUAAGACGUGGAGAUUAAAGAAUAAAGGU